UACGAAGGGUGCAAGCGUUACUCGGAAUUACUGGGCGUAAAGAGCUCGUAGGUGGUUUGUCGCGUUGUUCGUGAAAACUCACAACUCAAUUGUGGGCGUGCGGGCGAUACGGGCAGACUGGAGUACUGCAGGGGAGACUGGAAUUCCUGGUGUAGCGGUGGAAUGCGCAGAUAUCAGGAGGAACACCGGUGGCGAAGGCGGGUCUCUGGGCAGUAACUGACGCUGAGGAGCGAAAGCGUGGGGAGCGAACAGG
Molecule: ribosomal RNA, 253 nt
Filed under: uncultured bacterium
Lineage: Bacteria
Description: partial 16S ribosomal RNA
Rfam family: Bacterial small subunit ribosomal RNA
Source: RNAcentral